RNAcentral lists this ribosomal RNA (253 nucleotides) under uncultured bacterium. Its description in RNAcentral is "partial 16S ribosomal RNA". It matches the Rfam family "Bacterial small subunit ribosomal RNA", at positions 524 to 776 of the family's 1533-position model. The record is from RNAcentral.
UACAGAGGUGGCAAGCGUUGUUCGGAAUUACUGGGCGUAAAGGGCGCGUAGGCGGCCAUCUAAGUCAGACGUGAAAUCCCCCGGCUUAACCUGGGAACUGCGUCUGAUACUGGACGGCUUGAGUAUGGGAGAGGGAUGUAGAAUUCCAGGUGUAGCGGUGAAAUGCGUAGAUAUCUGGAGGAAUACCGGUGGCGAAGGCGGGUCUCUGGGCCGACACUGACGCUGAGGAGCGAAAGCGUGGGGAGCGAACAGG